CAAAGGUGGAGCAGCUUCUCCUUCUCAUUAAUCAUUCUGGGAAGCCGUCAUACAAGCAGAAACUGUUGUUCUCAUUUUUAUUAGUUUUCCCUAUAGGGAUUCAGACCAGUGAUGCUUAUCACCUUCUUUCCAGGAUGUGAAGGGUCAAUGUGCCUAUUUUCAGCUAGAGAGGGAUUAGAGACGGAGGGAAUUUGGUAUUACUGCUACAGAAUUAGAUCUGAUGGAGCCGGAUAGUUACAUGACUGUAUCAUGUUUGGGAUCAUAGAGCCUACCUAUUAAGACAUGUGAGAAGUAGAGUGGAAAUAGGAAUACUUUUAUACAAUAAGUAAUAGUAAAAUUCAUAAUGAUUAUCAAUAUAAUAUGCACAUACGAUAAAUAAAAAUAAAAAGGUACCCAGGUGCACCAUGAAAACACAGCCUCUUGUGCACCCUUGUGCCUUCCCCCAGACUUGCAACUUGUUCUGCCUUCUGGUGGCUACCACCACAGCACUAACUAAUGUGCCCAUUACGCUUUUUCGUUCGUUCUAAAAUAAUUUUCAGACAUCAUCUGGUAAAUUUCUGAUUUAAAAUUUAAAAAAAUUAGCUCACCUAAAUCAUUUUAUUCUCUCUUUUCCACCUCUUCCCAAUUGUAGGCAGGCCUUCCAUUAGUUACUGUGUAAAUACAAGUAAUAUCAUUAAAUAUAGAUUUAUGUUUCUAUCAAUUUAUAAAGUAUCUUUGGAUUCAUCUCUAUUUCUGCACCCACUCCCAAACCUCUAUCAAUUGGAUCUUUGUUAGGGAAGAUAACAUCUAUUUUAUAUUCUGUACCAUAGGUGAUUUAAAAGUUCAAAACUAAUAAACAUACUCAAUAAAAUAUGGCAAAGUAAGUGUGGUUUACCCCAUAGCCAAGUACUGUGGUUGACUUACAUUUCCUUCUCCAAGCCCAGAAUCGUGGCCUGGGACAACACAGGCAGAUAUUUCUAGGAGAAAAAUCAAGUUAUACCCCCACUGCCCAGCAGACAACAUCUUAGUUUGCUUCAUAUUUGAACCAUAAUGUUCUUGAAAAUAUUUUGCUUUGCCUGAAAUUUCUAAUUGCCUUUUGUUUCUUGAAUCUUGUGCAGGUUCCACAUUUUCCCAAAUGUAUGAGCCUCUAACCUAAGACAUGUCCAAAAGUUCUUUACUUACAGGGACAUGAUCUAGGGGCUUAGAGGGCCCUGGAAAAGUAAGAUAAUAUAUUUUAAAGACCCAAUUUUACACAAAAGAACAAAAAGAGGAAGAACUAUAGCAGAAUGCCACUGCUGUGGAUUCAGACUUCACCUCCCUGCCCACGGAGAUGAUUGAAGGGGAAAAAGGACAGAACAUGAAACUAACAAGCUUGAGGCCUUAUCAGUGUCUAUAUUGGCAAAUUGAGGAGCGAUGCACUCCCCAAGUUCCAGGAAGUGUUUACGAGUCAGCGCGUGAUUUCCUGUGCUCACGCCCAUGGCUGCCACAUCUGGGGAAGCAUGUGUUGACGUGGAGCUGCCACAAGAUCAGCACCUCCUGGAGUGAUGGGCUGCAGCCCCGAGAAGGUGGCCCUGGAGAGUUCUGGGAGCCAAAGCAAAAGUGGCAUGAACAAGAAAUACAUUUUGCUGUGCCACAUCAGCUGAAUGUUUUUCUACCAAUGCAUAAGAUCUACCAGCCACAGACAGGCACUGUUUUUAGAUGGUCUUGAGGCAUCUCAUUUUACAAAGGAUAUAGAAACAGACGGAUGCUAUAUAGAAACUGGUGGAGUGGGGUGGAAGAGAAGACAGAAGACAAGGGUUAUAAUUUAAUCAUAUAAACUCUGGAUGCAAUAACCAAGGUCUCCCCAGAAAGCUGUCAGUGUAUACUUGUGUGGUGAGUAGAUUUCUAAUCAGCUCUAGAAGGGUGGCCAAACACAGCUAAACUGUGUCUUUUAGUAGCAGGAAAAGCAUCUGCUAUAGUUUAGAUGUUUGUCCCCCAAACUCCAUAUUGAAAUUUGACCCCCAAUAUUGGAUGGGGGCCUAAGGGGAGGUGUUUGGAUCCUGAGGACAGAUCCCUCAUGAAUGUCUUGGUACUGUCCUCACAGUGAAGAGUGAGUUCUCACACUAUCAGCUCCCUUGAGAAACUGGUUGUCAAAACAAGCCUGGCACUCCCCAUCCCCUCACCACGUGGUCUCUGCACACACGAGCUUCCAUUCACUUUUCAUCAUGUAUGGAACCAACCCGAGGACCUCAUUGGAAAGAGAGUGGAUGCUGGCACCAUGCUUCUUGUUCAGCCUGCAGAACUGGGAGACAACAUAAACCUCUUUCCUUUAUAACUUACCCAGACUUGAGUAUUUCUUUGUAGCAAUACAAACAGACAAAGCAUCUGACAAGCAAGUUGUUCAAUGAAGAGAUUGUUAGAGCCUGGGGAAGAGUCAUCAUGUUCAAUUGGUACAAGAUGCAAUUAACUAAUAUGAUUUGGGACAGCUGUCUCCAUUGAGGUCACCAGGGUGUCAUGGAGUGAAGCUUCAGGAGGAAGAGCUGACUACUUCCUACCCUGGGCUCCAUUUUUGUCAGGGCUCUACAGAGAGACAGAACUGACAAGAUAUAAAGAGAGGAAUAAAACAAAAAUCCAGAUAUUUCUAUAAAUCCGAUUAUUUGCCAAAUUAAAUGUGAAAGCUUGCCUCUAUCUCUUUCCAUUGUGUGCAGAUAUUUUGCACAGUGUGGAUUUGGUCUCUAGGUGUGAGUGUGCCCUGGACACAAUGCAUAGUAGACAGACAUUGUGCUUCGUUGUAGACACUGUGCUAGGCACGUAUUACACAUUGCCCCAAAUCCUUAUCACAAACACAUCAGGAGUAUGAUGGCCAAGGAGGAAGCUGUGGCUCAGCCCAUUGAGGCUGUAUAUCCAGGGAUCAACAGCCAGUAAGUGGGUGUGCUGACUCCCAAGGCCAAAGCCCACCUACUUGCCAGGUAACUUUCUAGGGAUAUGAAGGCAUUCUAUGUUAUGAUGGUGUGUGUUACAUGAGUGUAUCUGUCUACCAAAAGUGUGCUUCCAUGAUUUAUGCAAUCAGAUAUGGGAUAUAAUGGUAACUCAUGUUUUUACCCAAGGAUUUUUUCAUCACCAUAAAACAUCACUUCUACUCAGCUUUAUUCUAAUGAUUUGAGGCAGAGUUUAAAAAUCUGUCAAAAUUAAAUAUAUUUUUAACAAAGUGAAGACAUCUAGACAAACAGACAAUGGGGUAGGAAAGAUGGAGCUAAAACCAGGGCUGAGUUUCAUUCACAGAUGGCUCGAGGUCCUACUCAAUUACUAGAAAUGGGCUAAAUAUUCACCUCUAAGCUUUCCAAUAAGCAACACAGUAGGAACAAUAUCAACGCAAUAGGCCUCAGAGUCCAUGAGAAAUAAACUAAACAGUUGCUUAGGGAAAGCAGAGCUAUUUCUGGUAAGAAAUUCAGAGAGAGUUUUCCUUUGAGUCUUCAUAAAGAAGACACUCUUCGAUGUAGGGCGCAGCAUUAACUACAUUCUUAUGCAAGUUGUAAAGGCUAAAUCUCAUAAAAUAUUUUAAUAUAGGCCAUAACACCAAGCAGCAAAAAUAGAGAACUAGAGGAUGGGGAGAUGGAAUUUGCUGUGUUUGGAAAUUAAUACGAUUAUUGGUUUUCUGUGUUCUCACUUAAUCCAGGGUUUUAAGGAAUCUAGAGAAAAAUCAGGAUUGAUGUUUUUCAUUAGUGCGUUUUCUUACAACUAAAGCUCUUGAACGCUCUGGGUGGUGGGGAGUUUGGGUUGCACUUGGCUUGUGAUGAGUUUCCCAGGGAGAUGCACUUCUCAGCUGGACCACCUGAGCACACCACCAGGAAAAGCUUUUGGGUAACCCCGGAGGCAGGAAAAUUUCCUAUGGGUGCUUUAUUCAGCUGUAGUCCUAUAAUCAGCCUUUCACAUAAUUUGAUAGAACUGACCAAUGUGAAAUGAAACUGUUAAUAAGAUCCCAAACUCUCCAGAGAAGAGGACUCUCUAUGGCUAGUAGAAACACCCAAAUUAAAAUAAUGGAAACCCAAUGGCCAUAGUUAGAGAAGGGUGGUCACGUGCCUUUUGUUUCUGAAGAGGGCAGUUCCAAACAAACAUGCUGUCUGUGCCUCUGAGCUAAGACAGUUCUUGUAAAGGGAGCUGAGGCACCAUGGCUGGAAAUCUCCUCCAACCAGCCUGAAAGGGCAUCCAAUAGACACUUAUGGUUUGGGGUUUAGAAAGUACCCAGUCAAGACUGUUAUUUUCAACCAAUCAGAAUUGAAUGUGUUCAAAUCAUUCAUUUACAUAUACAGACCUGAUUGAAGACUGUGACAGGAAUUUUCUUUAUUUAAGCCAGACCCUUUCUUUGUUCUCCAGAAUGUGCUUUUGUUUUCCACCAAAGCCUGUGUCUUCCCGAUACCUAGA
This 4380-nucleotide long non-coding RNA is filed under the name Homo sapiens (human). Its description in RNAcentral is "HSALNT0265822". Lineage: Eukaryota; Metazoa; Chordata; Mammalia; Primates; Hominidae. The record is from RNAcentral.